Molecule: ribosomal RNA, 2206 nt
Filed under: Desulfurococcaceae archaeon
Lineage: Archaea; Thermoproteati; Thermoproteota; Thermoprotei; Desulfurococcales; Desulfurococcaceae
Description: partial 23S ribosomal RNA
Rfam family: Archaeal large subunit ribosomal RNA
Source: RNAcentral
AGGUGGGCCUAACAGCAGCCAUCCUCUAAGGAGUGCGUAACAGCUCACCCGCCGAGGCCGCGGGCCCCGAAAAUACGUCGGGGCUUAAGCCGGCCGCCGAGACCCCGGAGCACGACCGCAUUGCGGUCGUGAUCUGGUAGGGGGGCGUCGAGGUAGGGCAGAAGUCGGGCCGUGAGGUCCGAUGGACCUACCUCGAGUGCGGAUCCCGGCGGUAGUAACAGCAAAGAGGGGUGAGAAUCCCCUCGGCCGGAAGGGCCAGGGUUCCUCAGCAACGGUCGUCAGCUGAGGGUUAGCCGGUCCUAAGGUAGGCCGUAACUCGGACCUACCGAAAGGGAAACGGGUUAAUAUUCCCGUGCCGUGGGGGUAGGUGCGGUAACGCAAGCCCGAACUCCGACGCUUCGGGGUAGGCCGACUAGGGCAGUCGCCCUAGCUAACUACCCGAAGGCCGGGGAGUACCGUAAUGGUGAGAACCGGCUCAAGGGAGGAAUGGCCGUCCGAUAGGACGGUUCGGCCGAACCCUGGAGCCCAUGAAAAGGGGUUCGGGAACGACCCCCCACGACCGUACCGAGAACCGACACAGGUGCCCCUGGGUGAGAAGCCCAAGGCCUGUGGGGUCUAACCCGAGCUAGGGAACUCGGCAAAUUGGCCCCGUACCUUCGGAAGAAGGGGUGCCUGCGGUUUUACGGCACACCCGUGGAACCGCAGGUCGCAGUGACUAGGGGGUCCUGACUGUUUAAUAAAAACAUAGGUCCCCGCAAGCCCGAAAGGGUGUGUACGGGGGCUGAAUCCUGGCCACUGGCGGUACGUUAAACCCGGGUACAACCGGGCGAAGCGCCGCUGAAGGCCGGGGGUAAACUCAGCCGUCCCGCCCCACUUAAAAUAAACUAAGUUUUAUAUCCGGGGUACACCUUGCUGUUGAUAUUAAGAUUUCAUAAUUAUGUUAUAGAAAAAGAGACAUCUGAAGAAAAGCUUCUGGUAUCUUGUAGGGGCCUUAGAUGAUGGAACGUUGUGCUUUGAUGAUGGAAGAUAUGUAAUGGAGUGUGGUUAGAAGUCCAUUGAGUAGUUAAAAUAUCUGUAGGUGCGAGGUUAGUAAAGUUCGUCUCAAACCCGUAAUUGUUAGGCACAGAGAAAACCCGGACAUCUACCGGAUAUCUUCACUUGUUUUAAUCUUAAAUUAAUAUUUCAUACUGAUUCUAAUUUUAGAGGCGGGAGGCUGGGGCCCAGCUCUGACCCUCUUAAGGUAGCCAAAUGCCUUGCCGGGUAAGUUCCGGCGCGCAUGAAUGGAUCAACGAGGGCCCCACUGUCCCAGCUCGGGACCCCGUGAAGCCCACGGAGCCGGUGCACAGGCCGGCAUCCUCCCGUAGGGAGAGAAGACCUCGUGGAGCUUUACCGCAGCCUGGCGCUGGCCUUCGGAUCCCGGUACGUAGAGUAGGCGGGAGGCGUUGAAGCCAGCCUUUCGGGGUUGGUGGAGCCGUAAGUGAAACACCGCCUACCGGGGUCUGAGGGCCUAACUCCGGGUCUGCCCGGAGGACAACGUCAGGUGGGCGGUUCGGCUGGGGCGGCACACCCGCAAAAAGAUAACACGGGUGCCCAAAGGUCGGCUCAGGCGGGUCAGAACUCCGCCGUAGAGUGCAAGGGCAAAAGCCGGCCUGACCGGACCCUUGACGGUAAGGGGUCCGGCCGGGAAACCGCGGCCUAGCGAACGCUCGUGCCCCUAUCGAUGGGGGCCGGGCAUGACAGAAAAGUUACCCCGAGGAUAACAGGGUCGUCGCGGGCGAGAGCUCCCAUCGACCCCGCGGUUUGCUACAUCGACGUCGGCUCUUCCCAUCCUGGCGGUGCAGCAGCCGCCAAGGGUGGGGCUGCCCGCCCAUUAAAGGGGAACGUGAGCUGGGUUUAGACCGUCGUGAGACAGGUCGGACUCUACCCACGGGAGGUGCGGGCCGCCUGAGGGGAAGGCGUCCUCAGUACGAGAGGAACGGGACGCCGCGGCCUCUAGUCGACCGGCUGUUCGACAGAGCAAGCCGGGCAGCCACGCCGUAGGGAGUAACCGCUGAAAGCAUCUAAGCGGGAACUCCCCCCCGAAAAGAGGCGGCCGUUCCCGGGUUACCGGGAGGAGGGCACCCGUAGAAGACGGGUUUGAUGGGGCGGGGGUGUAAGUCCCGAGGGUUUUCCCGAGGGAUUCAGCCUGCCGCUCCCAAUAGCCCGA